This is a long non-coding RNA of Coregonus clupeaformis (lake whitefish), 717 nucleotides long. RefSeq lists it as uncharacterized. The transcript has 2 exons. The record is from RefSeq and is a predicted model, not a curated record. Lineage: Eukaryota; Metazoa; Chordata; Actinopteri; Salmoniformes; Salmonidae.
UUGAGAAUGGGUGUCAACAGGUAGAUAACGUUACUCACUGGACUAGCCCCUCGUUCAUAGAACAUCAGCUUGCAAAACACUAUUUAUUUUUCUUUCUGUGUCGACAACAACUGUAAAGUUUAGUCAUGGUGUGGUGCUCAGUACCUGGAUGUGCAAACUACAAGCAAGCACAUGCUGAUGGGGUAACAUUUAAUCAGUUACCUUACUAAGAAGUCAAGCAGAGACUAAUCCUGCUGCUGAUGACGAUGACCUUGACACCAGCUUUAGUAGUACAGAUCCUGUAGACCCAUUGGAUGAAGGCUUUCAGCCGGGAACAAGCUCAACAUCAUCUGACUCAGAAGAGGAAAAGAUUGCACGGGGCUGGCAAGAUCCAAAGUGUAUAGUCUACGAGUCUAAGGUCAUGGAGCUCAUGAAGUUCUGCCAGACCAGCUGCCAUUGCCCAACACAAGACGAGGUUCACCAGCUGAAGAACAUUCAGGACCCUGCCUGGAACAUUCAGCCAACACAACAUCCAUAUUUAGUUAGACUGAUGUUGUAGUAUAAUAUAGAAUGCCUAGUAUGCUCACAACUACAUUGUGUUAUAUAUAUUGCUAGCGCUUGUACAUAUGUAUAUGAUGGAGUUUGAUCAAUUGUUUUAUAUAAUCUUUUUUACAAGUGUACUGACAAGUGACUAAAUGAUUCCAACUACAUCAGAAACCAUUAAAGUGUUGACUUCAA